RNAcentral lists this ribosomal RNA (505 nucleotides) under uncultured bacterium. RNAcentral's name for it is "bacterial SSU rRNA". It matches the Rfam family "Bacterial small subunit ribosomal RNA", at positions 24 to 518 of the family's 1533-position model. The record is from RNAcentral.
UCAGGAUGAACGCUAGCUACAGGCUUAACACAUGCAAGUCGAGGGGUAACAGGAGAGAAGCUUGCGUUUCUUGCUGACGACCGGCGCACGGGUGAGUAACGCGUAUCCAACCUCCCCUUAGUAGCAGAUAGCCCGGCGAAAGUCGGAUUAAUACGCUAUGUUCUUCGUUGAUGGCAUCUGAUGUGAAGCAAAGAUUAAUCGCUAAGGGAUGGGGAUGCGUCUGAUUAGGUAGUCGGCGGGGUAACGGCCCACCGAGCCAUCGAUCAGUAGGGGUUCUGAGAGGAAGGUCCCCCACACUGGUACUGAGACACGGACCAGACUCCUACGGGAGGCAGCAGCGAGGAAUAUUGGUCAAUGGGCGCGAGCCUGAACCAGCCAAGUAGCGUGCAGGAAUGACUGCCCUAUGGGUUGUAAACUGCUUUUAUCAGGGAAUAAAGUGAGGCACGUGUGCCUUUUUGUAUGUACCUGAUGAAUAAGGACCGGCUAAUUCCGUGCCAGCAGCCGC